This 346-nucleotide ribosomal RNA is filed under the name uncultured bacterium. RNAcentral's name for it is "bacterial SSU rRNA". It matches the Rfam family "Bacterial small subunit ribosomal RNA", at positions 9 to 352 of the family's 1533-position model. The record is from RNAcentral.
GAGUUUGAUCCUGGCUCAGAGCGAACGUUUGCGGCGGGCUUAACACAUGCAAGUCGAACGGGCUGUUNCUUCGGGGGCAGUCAGUGGCGCACGGGUGCGUAACACGUGGGUAAUCAACCUUUUGGUUGGGGAUAACGCUUCGAAAGGGGCGCUAAUACCGAAUAAGGCGUUGUUCUCUUUGGAGGGCGACGAGAAAGGCCCGCAAGGGUCGCCAGGAGACGAGCCCGCGGCCCAUCAGCUAGUUGGUGAGGUAACGGCUCACCAAGGCGAAGACGGGUAGCUGGUCUGAGAGGAUGAUCAGUCACACUGGAACUGAGACACGGUCCAGACUCCUACGGGAGGCAGC